CAAUAGCGUAUAUUAAAGUUGUUGCAGUUAAAAAGCUCGUAGUUGGAUUUCUGGCAGGAGCGACCGGUCGCGCACUCUGUGCGUGAACUUGUGUUGUCUCUGGCCAUCCUCGGGGAGAUCCUGUUUGGCAUUAAGUUGUCGGGCAGGGGAUACCCGUCGUUUACUGUGAAAAAUUAGAGUGUUUAAAGCAGGCUUAUGCCGUUGAAUAUAUUAGCAUGGAAUAAUAAGAUAGGACUUCGGAACUAUUUUGUUGGUUUGCGUUACGAAGUAAUGAUUAAUAGGGACAGUUGGGGGUAUUCGUAUUUCAUUGUCAGAGGUGAAAUUCUUAGAUUUACGAAAGACAAACUACUGCGAAAGCAUUUACCAAGGAUGUUUUCAUUGAUCAAGAACGAAAGUAUGGGGAUCGAAGAUGAUUAGAUACCGU
This 424-nucleotide ribosomal RNA is filed under the name uncultured eukaryote. RNAcentral's name for it is "SSU rRNA". It matches the Rfam family "Eukaryotic small subunit ribosomal RNA", at positions 592 to 1018 of the family's 1831-position model. The record is from RNAcentral.